Molecule: long non-coding RNA, 1501 nt
Organism: Haemorhous mexicanus (house finch)
Lineage: Eukaryota; Metazoa; Chordata; Aves; Passeriformes; Fringillidae
Exons: 2
Source: RefSeq, a predicted model, not a curated record
UCCAGGUCGGGUCCAGUCUGGAUCAGGAAGUGCUUGGGACCAGCUGCAGUGUGGAUGGGCCGUGCCCUUGGAGAAGGCUGAGGACAUCGUUUGGGACCAGCUUUUCUUCCAGCAGGGGAGGGCGUGAGCCAGGCUCUGCAGGUGCUGACUGCAUGACUGAUAAAAUUACAUCAUCCCAUUGGGAGAAGCUCCACCCAGGGGAUGGAGCCUAGCAUUCCUUCCUGGAUGUAAUCUGACAGUUGGAACACCACAGCACCUUUCCCACUGGAUUCCCAGAGGAAGACCAGACCAAUCCACACCACCACUGGAUCUUCAAAGGAAAACUCCACCCUUCUACAGGAUCACUGCUUUAACAGAACCUCACCUGUCUCUCCAGGAGAACUGCAGCCACCAUUUAAUGGGAUUACUACCAACACCCUGACACACAGGGAGUCAGACCAUAUUCUGACUCUGCCAGUAUUGUUUUGUAUUACUGCAUUGUUUUUUGGGGUUUUUUUUCCUUCCUACUAAAGAAGUUAUUCCUUGUCCCAUAUCUUUGCCUUAGUGCCCCUUAAUUUCAAACUUAUAACAAUUCAGAGGGAGGGGGUUCACAUUUUCCAUUUCAGGGGAGGCCUCUGCCUUCCUUAGCAGACACCUGUCUUUUCAAACCCAGACAAACAUAAAUAUCCUUGUUGGCAGUGUUUGAUUGGCCAAUAAAUCCUUAAAAAGGUCUUGUAACUAGGAGUCUUGUGACCUUCUGAGCCUUGCGGUGGAGAUGUGAGCCAAACUCAUCCUUCCUGUCUAUGUAGAAGAAAAAGAAAUGGCAACAGCUAAAAAAUUCAGAGGUCUGGUCUCUAACUCGUUCCAAACUCCUUCAAGUCCCCCGAAGUGUGAUUUAGCUACAAAUAAAUGACAAGGACUCUUAUUGCUGGCUCUUUGACUCCAAACCAGCUGCUUCAGAAACUUUCACAUAACCCUGUGUAGUUAGGUGCCAGAAAUGUAUCAUUUGAAGAAACUUUCCCAACUGACUUGAAUAGAGGUUUGUUUGUAGGGUAUUUGAGGGGAAACCCUCCCAGCAGAGGUUUGGGCUUUGGCCUAGCUGUGUCCCUGCUGGCUGUGAAGUAUACCAUCAGCUGCAGGGGUUUCUGGGCUAAAAAUAUAAUUGAGUUGCGUUGAAUUGCUCUUUUGGGCCUAUAAAAGCUGGAUCCACUUUCAGGGCAAAUUUGGAAACCUCAUCUCUGGGUGAAUGGAUGACCUAGGAUUUUCCCAAUUGCUGGGAACGGUUCCCCAGGUCCUUGGUGUAAAAUGCAGCUCCCCAGCAAGUGCAGAUCUGCAAGAUGAUAAACAAUUUAGGCAAUUGGUAAUGUUUCUUUCAAAAUAGCUCUCUCUCUCUCUUAUAGUACUUAUUUAGGUGCACUAUCUUGCUUGUUUUUGCUUGUCACAAUAACCGAGCACACAUUUUUAUUGAAUGUAUCAUCUUACACUGUGGUUCCUUCUUAUUGACAGUAAAAUAAGGACAUUA